Podarcis raffonei (Aeolian wall lizard) is the source of this 295-nucleotide long non-coding RNA. RefSeq lists it as uncharacterized. The transcript is spliced from 2 exons. The record is from RefSeq and is a predicted model, not a curated record. Lineage: Eukaryota; Metazoa; Chordata; Lepidosauria; Squamata; Lacertidae.
UAGAGGGCAGCCGCCGAGCGGGCGGAAACAAACGUGGGUUAUUGAUCCCUUGCGUCUCUGGAGGACUCGGAGGAACGCGCUUGAGACAAAGGCGUGCAGUGCGAGCCUGUAAAUACAUCUACUCAGAAUGAUUCCUGCAUACUUCUACCACACUUGCCCAGAUGUGGAGAAUUCUGCAAUUGGCAGCUGGGAGUGAGACCUGUGUGGAUAUCCUUUUUAAAAGAUCCUAGUUUGAAACCUCUUCUGUUUAGAAUUUCCCACCUUUCUAAAUAUUGUAAACAAUAUUUUCAUUCUA